AAUAGGUCCAGCCCUAUCUCUUUUCAGAGGCGGUCACCCCUCUGCUGAGGUCCGAGAGUACUGAUUUCAUGGCCUGAUUCUCAGAGAGGUUUCACAGAGGUGGACUGUGAGCCUCAGAGGCAUUCGAGAUGCCUGUGGUUUGAGCUGGCCAGAGGCCUGGCUGGGAGCCAGGAGGCCCAGGUGUCCUGGAUGUCCUCCGGUCAAGCCCUGGGCCCGGGCCAGCCCUCUCUUCCAGGAAACACUUGGCCAGGACCCAGGAAGAACCCGCCGGCAUCCCUUCCGGGUACGUGGGCCAUCCACCUGCGGGCCCAGGCCAGGCCUCCUGUGAGGCCAGCACCCUGUGCCGCCCAGACUCCCUUCCUGUCUUUGACAGGGAAAUGCAGAGCUUUUCUGCACCCAGCCCACCACCACACAGACUUCGCCGGGGACAAGAGAGGACUGUGCGGCACAGAGGUGUCUCGGGACCUCAGCGUCCCCAUCGGAUGCUGGUAGAAGACUGUAACCACCUCCGAGGGGUGUCGUGAGGAUUAAAGACGUGGGCACAGGAGAGGCACGUGGCACAGCGUUGGACACGUGGUGAGUGCCGUGUACUCCGGCCCUUCUUUCUUUUGCAAGGUGUUUCCUCAGUCACUGUCAUGGCAGAUGGUGCCCAUGGGGGCAGAGGCCCAGGAAGAGGUGUCUCACCUGAGGACACUGUGGGAGCCGUGGCCGCCCUGAGCCUGGAGCCCCGGAGCCGGGCACCGUCCGUUGAGAUCACGCGGGAGCUGGUUGGAAACGCAGACUCUCAGGCCCUGCCCCAGACCCACAGACUCGGAAUCCGCACUGUAAUGAGAGCCUGGCUGAUCCGUGUGCCCGUUACAGACGCGGAGUGAGCGUGUCUGGGCAACUGCACGGAGGUGGAUGAGGAGCUGUGGGUGAUGCCAGCCCCCCGGGGCAGCACCUGCGCCUGGCUCUGGAACUCUCGGGGCGUUAGCUCCUGCAGUCAGCCAGGCCUGCGCACGGUCACAGCCGUGCUGGCGAGUGAGUGCUGAGCUGGAAGCAGGCCCCAAGUCCCCUGUGAGCCUAAAUCUCCCCGGGGGAAGUCAGGAAUCUGAGCCAAUACAUGAGGAGAAAACUGGAAUUGGCCAGGCCGACCUGGGGGCAGCGGAUGGGGAUUCCAGCAAAGGGGGCGGCCUGUACCAAUUCCUGAGCUGGUGUUUUCAGAGGACAGGGUUUUGCAGACUUUACCUGAACACUGUCAGGGCCCAGGGCAAUUGGAAGCCCCCGUGCUCUGUAUCUGCACAUUCAAAAGUUAUAAAUCAAAAACUCACAAACUAUUAAAUACACUCUGUUCUAGCCUCUUACCUUGAUGAAUAAGCUUCACCUAGAAGUGCAGGUUCAAAUUUAGAAUUUUUGGCCUCCUUGGAGUCCGGUUCCAAAACACGAUGGUGUGGGGGCGCCUGGGUGGCUCAGUCGGUUGAGCGGCCGACUUCAGCUCAGGUCAUGAUCUCACGAUUUGUGAGUUCAAGCCCGGUGCCAGGCUCACUGCUUUCAGUGUGGAGCCUGCUUCAGAUCUUCUGUCCCUUUCUCUCUGCCCCUCCCCCACUUAUUCUCUCACGCUCUCUAUCUCAAAAAUAAAUAAAAAGCGUUUUAAAAAUUAAAAAAAAAAAAAAGACAAAACACAAUGGUGUGGGCUGAGCCAGGUCCUGACCAUACCGCACCCCACCAGGAGGACUCACACAUGCGGGCACGCACACACACACACGCAGUGGGCCCAACCCUCCCAUACCACACCCCUCCCCCUACACACAGCUCUCCUUGGCAUGUGCACAGGGGAUGGGUGGGCCCCAGGAUGAGAGACCCAUGGAGUCCCUGGAGAGGGGAGGAUGGUCUGAGAAGACUCAUUCAUCAUAACCCUGUGAGGAGGGCCCCAGCUGAAGAGGCCUUGUGACAAUUAAAGUAUGACAUACCCUCAAUGAGAAGAUUCACUGAUUUCAGGGAUGUUAAAAUGUGGAAAAAAUAUGCAUCUUAGAUUCUGCCCCCUGCCCAUGAGAAUUUGUUUAAACUGAACAUCAAUUUGCACAGUAUUAACAAUAUUAACAAUUUUCAAUCGUAACAAUAUUUAGUCUUCCACUCCAUGGACAUGGGAUGUCUUUUCAUUUGUAACAAUUUUCAAUCGUGACAAUAUUUAGUCUUCCAAUCCAUGGACAUGGGAUGCCUUUUCACUUAUAACAAUUUUCAAUCAUUACAAUAUUUAGUCUUCCAAUCCAUGGACAUGGGAUGUCUUUUCAUUUAUUUAGGUCUUGAGUGUCAUUAAAUGAUGUUUUAUAGUUUUCCAUGUAAAAGUCUUGCACUUCUUCA
This is a long non-coding RNA of Neofelis nebulosa (Clouded leopard), 2340 nucleotides long. RefSeq lists it as uncharacterized. The transcript has 3 exons. The record is from RefSeq and is a predicted model, not a curated record. NCBI's taxonomy places the organism in Eukaryota, Metazoa, Chordata, Mammalia, Carnivora, Felidae.